CGCUGGCGGCAGGCUUAACACAUGCAAGUCGAACGGUUGUAGCAAUACAGCAGUGGCAGACGGUGAGUAACACGUGGGAACCUUCCUAGGGGUACGGAACAACUCAGGGAAACUUGAGCUAAUACCGUAUACGUCCGUGAGGAGAAAGAUUUAUCGCCCUUAGACGGGCCCGCGUCGGAUUAGCUAGUUGGUGGGGUAACGGCCUACCAAGGCGACGAUCCGUAGCUGAUCUUAGAGGAUGAUCAGCCACACUGGGACUGAGACACGGCCCAGACUCCUACGGGAGGCAGCAGUGGGGAAUCUUGGACAAUGGCGCAAGCCUGAUCCAGCCAUGCCGCGUGAGUGAAGAAGGUCUUCGGAUUGUAAAGCUCUUUUGCCAGGGACGAUAAUGACGGUACCUGGAGAAUAAGCCCCGGCAAACUUCGUG
Molecule: ribosomal RNA, 427 nt
Filed under: uncultured bacterium
Lineage: Bacteria
Description: bacterial SSU rRNA
Rfam family: Bacterial small subunit ribosomal RNA
Source: RNAcentral